This 253-nucleotide ribosomal RNA is filed under the name uncultured bacterium. RNAcentral's name for it is "partial 16S ribosomal RNA". It matches the Rfam family "Bacterial small subunit ribosomal RNA", at positions 524 to 776 of the family's 1533-position model. The record is from RNAcentral.
GACGGGGGGUUCUAGCGUUGUUCGGAAUCAUUGGGCGUAAAGCGUGUGCAGGUGGUUUUAAAAGUUAGAUGUGAAAUCCUUGGGCUCAACCCAAGAAGUGCAUUUAAAACUGUAAAACUUGAGUAUGGAAGAGGGUCGUGGAAUUCCAGGUGUAGUGGUGAAAUACGUAGAUAUCUGGAGGAACACCGGUGGCGAAGGCGGCAUCCUGGACCAUGACUGACGCUGAGGAGCGAAAGCCAGGGGAGCAAACGGG